RNAcentral lists this ribosomal RNA (2482 nucleotides) under Listeria monocytogenes. Its description in RNAcentral is "bacterial LSU rRNA". It matches the Rfam family "Bacterial large subunit ribosomal RNA", at positions 447 to 2925 of the family's 2925-position model. Lineage: Bacteria; Bacillati; Bacillota; Bacilli; Caryophanales; Listeriaceae. The record is from RNAcentral.
GGAGGACCAUCUCCCAAGGCUAAAUACUCCCUAGUGACCGAUAGUGAACCAGUACCGUGAGGGAAAGGUGAAAAGCACCCCGGAAGGGGAGUGAAACAGUUCCUGAAACCGUGUGCCUACAAGUAGUUAGAGCCCGUUAAUGGGUGAUAGCGUGCCUUUUGUAGAAUGAACCGGCGAGUUACGAUUUGUUGCAAGGUUAAGCGGAAAAAGCGGAGCCGUAGCGAAAGCGAGUCUGAAUAGGGCGCAUAAGUAACAGGUCGUAGACCCGAAACCAGGUGAUCUACCCAUGUCCAGGAUGAAGGUAAGGUAAUACUUACUGGAGGUCCGAACCCACGCACGUUGAAAAGUGCGGGGAUGAGGUGUGGGUAGCGGAGAAAUUCCAAUCGAACUUGGAGAUAGCUGGUUCUCUCCGAAAUAGCUUUAGGGCUAGCCUCGAGGUAAAGAGUCAUGGAGGUAGAGCACUGUUUGGACUAGGGGCCCUUCUCGGGUUACCGAAUUCAGAUAAACUCCGAAUGCCAUGUACUUAUACUCGGGAGUCAGACUGCGAGUGAUAAGAUCCGUAGUCGAAAGGGAAACAGCCCAGACCACCAGUUAAGGUCCCCAAAUAUAUGUUAAGUGGAAAAGGAUGUGGGGUUGCUUAGACAACCAGGAUGUUGGCUUAGAAGCAGCCACCAUUGAAAGAGUGCGUAAUAGCUCACUGGUCGAGUGACCCCGCGCCGAAAAUGUACCGGGGCUAAACAUAUUACCGAAACUGUGGAUGAACCUCUUUAGAGGUUCGUGGUAGGAGAGCGUUCUAAGGGCGGUGAAGUCAGACCGGAAGGACUGGUGGAGCGCUUAGAAGUGAGAAUGCCGGUAUGAGUAGCGAAAGAAGGGUGAGAAUCCCUUCCACCGAAUAUCUAAGGUUUCCUGAGGAAGGCUCGUCCGCUCAGGGUUAGUCGGGACCUAAGCCGAGGCCGAUAGGCGUAGGCGAUGGACAACAGGUAGAGAUUCCUGUACCAGUGCUAAUUGUUUAACCGAUGGGGUGACACAGAAGGAUAGGGAAUCGCACGAAUGGAAAUGUGCGUCCAAGCAGUGAGUGUGAGAAGUAGGCAAAUCCGCUUCUCGCGAAGCAUGAGCUGUGAUGGGGAAGGAAAUUAAGUACGGAAGUUCCUGAUUUCACGCUGUCAAGAAAAGCCUCUAGGAAGAGUAGUACUGCCCGUACCGCAAACCGACACAGGUAGAUGAGGAGAGAAUCCUAAGGUGAGCGAGAGAACUCUCGUUAAGGAACUCGGCAAAAUGACCCCGUAACUUCGGGAGAAGGGGUGCUCUAUUAGGGUGCAAGCCCGAGAGAGCCGCAGUGAAUAGGCCCAGGCGACUGUUUAGCAAAAACACAGGUCUCUGCAAAACCGUAAGGUGACGUAUAGGGGCUGACGCCUGCCCGGUGCUGGAAGGUUAAGAGGAGUGCUUAGCUUCGGCGAAGGUACGAAUUGAAGCCCCAGUAAACGGCGGCCGUAACUAUAACGGUCCUAAGGUAGCGAAAUUCCUUGUCGGGUAAGUUCCGACCCGCACGAAAGGCGCAACGAUCUGGGCACUGUCUCAACGAGAGACUCGGUGAAAUUAUAGUACCUGUGAAGAUGCAGGUUACCCGCGACAGGACGGAAAGACCCCGUGGAGCUUUACUGCAACCUGAUAUGGAAUGUUUGUACCGCUUGUACAGGAUAGGUAGGAGCCGAAGAGACGUGUGCGCUAGCAUACGAGGAGGCAAUGGUGGGAUACUACCCUGGCUGUAUGACCAUUCUAACCCGCCACGCUUAGCGCGUGGGGAGACAGUGUCAGGUGGGCAGUUUGACUGGGGCGGUCGCCUCCUAAAGAGUAACGGAGGCGCCCAAAGGUUCCCUCAGAAUGGAUGGAAAUCAUUCGCAGAGUGUAAAGGCACAAGGGAGCUUGACUGCGAGACUGACAAGUCGAGCAGGGACGAAAGUCGGGCUUAGUGAUCCGGUGGUUCCGCAUGGAAGGGCCAUCGCUCAACGGAUAAAAGCUACCCCGGGGAUAACAGGCUUAUCUCCCCCAAGAGUCCACAUCGACGGGGAGGUUUGGCACCUCGAUGUCGGCUCGUCGCAUCCUGGGGCUGUAGUCGGUCCCAAGGGUUGGGCUGUUCGCCCAUUAAAGCGGCACGCGAGCUGGGUUCAGAACGUCGUGAGACAGUUCGGUCCCUAUCCGUCGCGGGCGCAGGAAAUUUGAGAGGAGCUGUCCUUAGUACGAGAGGACCGGGAUGGACACACCGCUGGUGUACCAGUUGUUCCGCCAGGAGCAUCGCUGGGUAGCUAUGUGUGGCAGGGAUAAACGCUGAAAGCAUCUAAGCGUGAAGCCCCCCUCAAGAUGAGAUUUCCCAUUUCUUCGGAAAGUAAGAUCCCUGAAAGAUGAUCAGGUAGAUAGGUUUGGAGUGGAAGUGUAGCGAUACAUGGAGCGGACAAAUACUAAUCGAUCGAGGACUUAACCAAAA